Molecule: ribosomal RNA, 608 nt
Filed under: uncultured Actinomycetes bacterium
Lineage: Bacteria; Bacillati; Actinomycetota; Actinomycetes
Description: bacterial SSU rRNA
Rfam family: Bacterial small subunit ribosomal RNA
Source: RNAcentral
CGUAAACGUUGGGCACUAGUUGUGGGAACCUUCCACGGUUUCUGCGACGCAGCUAACGCAUUAAGUGCCCCGCCUGGGGAGUACGAUCGCAAGAUUAAAACUCAAAGGAAUUGACGGGGCCCCGCACAAGCAGCGGAGCAUGCGGCUUAAUUCGACGCAACGCGAAGAACCUUACCAAGGCUUGACAUAUACAGGAAUAUGGCAGAAAUGUCAUAGCCGCAAGGUCUGUAUACAGGUGGUGCAUGGUUGUCGUCAGCUCGUGUCGUGAGAUGUUGGGUUAAGUCCCGCAACGAGCGCAACCCUCGUUCUGUGUUGCCAGCAUUUAGUUGGGGACUCACAGGAGACUGCCGGGGUUAACUCGGAGGAAGGUGGGGAUGACGUCAAAUCAUCAUGCCCCUUAUGUCUUGGGCUGCACGCAUGCUACAAUGGCUGGUACAAACGGCUGCGAUACCGCAAGGUGGAGCGAAUCCGAUAAAGCCAGUCUCAGUUCGGAUUGGGGUCUGCAACUCGACCCCAUGAAGUCGGAGUUGCUAGUAAUCGUAGAUCAGCAACGCUACGGUGAAUACGUUCCCGGGGCUUGUACACACCGCCCGUCACGUCACGAAAGU